Molecule: ribosomal RNA, 2349 nt
Filed under: Escherichia coli 09BKT024447
Lineage: Bacteria; Pseudomonadati; Pseudomonadota; Gammaproteobacteria; Enterobacterales; Enterobacteriaceae
Description: bacterial LSU rRNA
Rfam family: Bacterial large subunit ribosomal RNA
Source: RNAcentral
UGACUGCGUACCUUUUGUAUAAUGGGUCAGCGACUUAUAUUCUGUAGCAAGGUUAACCGAAUAGGGGAGCCGAAGGGAAACCGAGUCUUAACCGGGCGUUAAGUUGCAGGGUAUAGACCCGAAACCCGGUGAUCUAGCCAUGGGCAGGUUGAAGGUUGGGUAACACUAACUGGAGGACCGAACCGACUAAUGUUGAAAAAUUAGCGGAUGACUUGUGGCUGGGGGUGAAAGGCCAAUCAAACCGGGAGAUAGCUGGUUCUCCCCGAAAGCUAUUUAGGUAGCGCCUCGUGAAUUCAUCUCCGGGGGUAGAGCACUGUUUCGGCAAGGGGGUCAUCCCGACUUACCAACCCGAUGCAAACUGCGAAUACCGGAGAAUGUUAUCACGGGAGACACACGGCGGGUGCUAACGUCCGUCGUGAAGAGGGAAACAACCCAGACCGCCAGCUAAGGUCCCAAAGUCAUGGUUAAGUGGGAAACGAUGUGGGAAGGCCCAGACAGCCAGGAUGUUGGCUUAGAAGCAGCCAUCAUUUAAAGAAAGCGUAAUAGCUCACUGGUCGAGUCGGCCUGCGCGGAAGAUGUAACGGGGCUAAACCAUGCACCGAAGCUGCGGCAGCGACACUGUGUGUUGUUGGGUAGGGGAGCGUUCUGUAAGCCUGUGAAGGUGUGCUGUGAGGCAUGCUGGAGGUAUCAGAAGUGCGAAUGCUGACAUAAGUAACGAUAAAGCGGGUGAAAAGCCCGCUCGCCGGAAGACCAAGGGUUCCUGUCCAACGUUAAUCGGGGCAGGGUGAGUCGACCCCUAAGGCGAGGCCGAAAGGCGUAGUCGAUGGGAAACAGGUUAAUAUUCCUGUACUUGGUGUUACUGCGAAGGGGGGACGGAGAAGGCUAUGUUGGCCGGGCGACGGUUGUCCCGGUUUAAGCGUGUAGGCUGGUUUUCCAGGCAAAUCCGGAAAAUCAAGGCUGAGGCGUGAUGACGAGGCACUACGGUGCUGAAGCAACAAAUGCCCUGCUUCCAGGAAAAGCCUCUAAGCAUCAGGUAACAUCAAAUCGUACCCCAAACCGACACAGGUGGUCAGGUAGAGAAUACCAAGGCGCUUGAGAGAACUCGGGUGAAGGAACUAGGCAAAAUGGUGCCGUAACUUCGGGAGAAGGCACGCUGAUAUGUAGGUGAAGUCCCUCGCGGAUGGAGCUGAAAUCAGUCGAAGAUACCAGCUGGCUGCAACUGUUUAUUAAAAACACAGCACUGUGCAAACACGAAAGUGGACGUAUACGGUGUGACGCCUGCCCGGUGCCGGAAGGUUAAUUGAUGGGGUCAGCGCAAGCGAAGCUCUUGAUCGAAGCCCCGGUAAACGGCGGCCGUAACUAUAACGGUCCUAAGGUAGCGAAAUUCCUUGUCGGGUAAGUUCCGACCUGCACGAAUGGCGUAAUGAUGGCCAGGCUGUCUCCACCCGAGACUCAGUGAAAUUGAACUCGCUGUGAAGAUGCAGUGUACCCGCGGCAAGACGGAAAGACCCCGUGAACCUUUACUAUGCUUGACACUGAACAUUGAGCCUUGAUGUGUAGGAUAGGUGGGAGGCUUUGAAGUGUGGACGCCAGUCUGCAUGGAGCCGACCUUGAAAUACCACCCUUUAAUGUUUGAUGUUCUAACGUGGACCCGUGAUCCGGGUUGCGGACAGUGUCUGGUGGGUAGUUUGACUGGGGCGGUCUCCUCCUAAAGAGUAACGGAGGAGCACGAAGGUUGGCUAAUCCUGGUCGGACAUCAGGAGGUUAGUGCAAUGGCAUAAGCCAGCUUGACUGCGAGCGUGACGGCGCGAGCAGGUGCGAAAGCAGGUCAUAGUGAUCCGGUGGUUCUGAAUGGAAGGGCCAUCGCUCAACGGAUAAAAGGUACUCCGGGGAUAACAGGCUGAUACCGCCCAAGAGUUCAUAUCGACGGCGGUGUUUGGCACCUCGAUGUCGGCUCAUCACAUCCUGGGGCUGAAGUAGGUCCCAAGGGUAUGGCUGUUCGCCAUUUAAAGUGGUACGCGAGCUGGGUUUAGAACGUCGUGAGACAGUUCGGUCCCUAUCUGCCGUGGGCGCUGGAGAACUGAGGGGGGCUGCUCCUAGUACGAGAGGACCGGAGUGGACGCAUCACUGGUGUUCGGGUUGUCAUGCCAAUGGCACUGCCCGGUAGCUAAAUGCGGAAGAGAUAAGUGCUGAAAGCAUCUAAGCACGAAACUUGCCCCGAGAUGAGUUCUCCCUGACCCUUUAAGGGUCCUGAAGGAACGUUGAAGACGACGACGUUGAUAGGCCGGGUGUGUAAGCGCAGCGAUGCGUUGAGCUAACCGGUACUAAUGAACCGUGAGGCUUAACCUU